GACGAAGGAUGCAAGCGUUAUCCGGAUUCAUUGGGUUUAAAGGGAGCGUAGGCGGCCUUGUAAGUCAGUGGUGAAAUCUCUCGGCUUAACCGAGAAAUUGCCAUUGAUACUGCAGGGCUUGAGUACAGUUGCCGUUGGCGGAAUAUGACAUGUAGUGGUGAAAUACAUAGAGAUGUCAUAGAACACCGAUCGCGAAGGCAGCUAACGAAGCUGUAACUGACGCUGAGGCUCGAAAGUGCGGGGAUCAAACAGG
Molecule: ribosomal RNA, 253 nt
Filed under: uncultured bacterium
Lineage: Bacteria
Description: partial 16S ribosomal RNA
Rfam family: Bacterial small subunit ribosomal RNA
Source: RNAcentral